RNAcentral lists this ribosomal RNA (504 nucleotides) under uncultured bacterium. Its description in RNAcentral is "bacterial SSU rRNA". It matches the Rfam family "Bacterial small subunit ribosomal RNA", at positions 19 to 518 of the family's 1533-position model. The record is from RNAcentral.
CUGGUUCAGGAUGAACGCUAGCGACAGACCUAACACAUGCAAGUCGAGGGCAGCACAAGGAGCAAUCUGAGGUGGCGACCGGCGCACGGGUGAGUAACACGUAUGCAACCUGCCUGUAAGCGGGGAAUAACCCGUUGAAAGACGGACUAAUACCGCAUAAUACUAAAUUACUGCAUGGUAAUUUAUUUAAACAUUUAUGGCUUACAGAUGGGCAUGCGCGUGAUUAGCUAGUUGGAGAGGUGACGGCUCCCCAAGGCAACGAUCAUUAGGGGUUCUGAGAGGAAGGUCCCCCACACUGGUACUGAGACACGGACCAGACUCCUACGGGAGGCAGCAGUGAGGAAUAUUGGUCAAUGGACGAGAGUCUGAACCAGCCAAGUCGCGUGCAGGAAGAAUGUCCCUAUGGAUUGUAAACUGCUUUUGCAGGGGAAUAAAGUGCAUCACGUGUGAUGUUUUGUAUGUACUCUGCGAAUAAGGAUCGGCUAACUCCGUGCCAGCCGCUGC